UAUACAUUUAAUUUAGAAUCAUUGAUAGACACAUUGUAUAUUUUAUCCAUUCAUCUUGAGUUUACAAAUGUUUACACAAGGUAACAAGUAUUUCCAUGUUGUUAAGUUUCAAGUGCAACAAGGCAAGUCACAAUUAAGGGUUGGAUGAUCACCUUUAAGGGCUCUGAGGGCAUCACACCAACAUUUGCAAUUGGACUUGCUGCUAUGUUUGCAACCUACUACAUUUUCAGCCUUCAGUAUCAAGAUGAGACAGCCUGCCCUCUGGAAUUCAUUCAGAGGCACUUCAUUGAUAUAAAUCCCAACAAAUGCCAAAAUCAUCAGACAAGAUUGUCUCUAAGAAGAAAGGUGUGAUCGUCCAGAAGUCGUCUUCUGCAGUUAAAUACACACGUGGCCAUGCUACUGAAGAAUCUCCUUGACUUUUUAAUGGAACUUCAUAUAGAUCGUGGCAGCACUGGAAUAAUGCUGCAGAGAGGAACAGCGGCUACUAAAGUAAUGAUCGUCUCUUCUG
Molecule: long non-coding RNA, 508 nt
Organism: Paramisgurnus dabryanus
Lineage: Eukaryota; Metazoa; Chordata; Actinopteri; Cypriniformes; Cobitidae
Source: RefSeq, a predicted model, not a curated record